Molecule: ribosomal RNA, 479 nt
Filed under: uncultured bacterium
Lineage: Bacteria
Description: partial 16S ribosomal RNA
Rfam family: Bacterial small subunit ribosomal RNA
Source: RNAcentral
GAUGAACGCUGGCGGCGUGCUUAACACAUGCAAGUCGAACGAAGCACCUUGAUUCGAUUCUUCGGAUGAGAAUCUUGUGACUGAGGGGGGGGCGGGUGAGUUAAGGCGGGGUUACCCUGCCUAAUCAGGGGGGAAAACGGUUGGAAAUGACUCCUACUACCGAAUAGAACAACACAACGGCCUGGGGAGGGGGUAAAACCUCCGGUGGUAUGAGCUGAACCCGCGUCUGAUUAGGUAGUUGGUGGGGUAACGGCCUACCAAGCCGACGAUCAGUAGCCGACCUGAGAGGGUGACCGGCCACAUUGGGACUGAGACACGGCCCAAACUCCUACGGGAGGCAGCAGUGGGGAAUAUUGCACAAUGGGGGAAACCCUGAUGCAGCGACGCCGCGUGAGCGAUGAAGUAUUUCGGUAUGUAAAGCUCUAUCAGCAGGGAAGAAAAUGACGGUACCUGACUAAGAAGCACCGGCUAAAUACGUG